GUACUCUCACACUCUCCAAUCCUUUGGAUCCGGGGAGUGGUGGACUUGGGCGUCUGCUGCUUGACUGUGGCUCGCUUUAAAUGGAUUAGUGCAACUCUUGGUUGGACAUAGUACGGCGUGAUAAGUGUCUUCGCCGGCGCCUUGAAAGAGGGUGGCUGAUCGGGAGCUCUGUGCUUCUUAAACUGUCUUCGGACAAUAUCUGACA
RNAcentral lists this unclassified non-coding RNA (205 nucleotides) under uncultured Sebacina. RNAcentral's name for it is "sequence contains ITS2". The record is from RNAcentral. Lineage: Eukaryota; Fungi; Basidiomycota; Agaricomycetes; Sebacinales; Sebacinaceae.